AAGCUUGAGCCGCCCGCUGUGG
Molecule: unclassified non-coding RNA, 22 nt
Filed under: Chlamydomonas reinhardtii
Lineage: Eukaryota; Viridiplantae; Chlorophyta; Chlorophyceae; Chlamydomonadales; Chlamydomonadaceae
Description: small RNA Cre_0116
Source: RNAcentral